RNAcentral lists this ribosomal RNA (253 nucleotides) under uncultured bacterium. RNAcentral describes it as "partial 16S ribosomal RNA". It matches the Rfam family "Bacterial small subunit ribosomal RNA", at positions 524 to 776 of the family's 1533-position model. The record is from RNAcentral.
UACGGAGGGUGCGAGCGUUAAUCGGAAUUACUGGGCGUAAAGCGCAUGCAGGUGGUUUGUUAAGUCAGAUGUGAAAGCCCGGGGCUCAACCUCGGAAUAGCAUUUGAAACUGGCAGACUAGAGUACUGUAGAGGGGGGUAGAAUUUCAGGUGUAGCGGUGAAAUGCGUAGAGAUCUGAAGGAAUACCGGUGGCGAAGGCGGCCCCCUGGACAGAUACUGACACUCAGAUGCGAAAGCGUGGGGAGCAAACAGG